RNAcentral lists this ribosomal RNA (329 nucleotides) under Caridina cantonensis. Its description in RNAcentral is "partial large subunit ribosomal RNA". It matches the Rfam family "Bacterial large subunit ribosomal RNA", at positions 2072 to 2606 of the family's 2925-position model. The record is from RNAcentral. Lineage: Eukaryota; Metazoa; Arthropoda; Malacostraca; Decapoda; Atyidae.
GUAGUGGGACGAUAAGACCCUAUAAAGCUUUACAUUUUUCUUGUUGGAGGCAAAGUUUAAGGUUUUUUAUUCUUAUCAAGUAAGAUGUUUCGUUGGGGCGACGAAAAUAUAAAAUAUUAACUGUUUUUUUUUAAAAAUAGAUUUUUUUAGGUGUGUUGAUCCUUUAUAGAGAUUAUAAGAAUAAAGUUACUUUAGGGAUAACAGCGUAAUUUUUCUUGAGAGUUCAUAUCGACAGAAAUAGUUGCGACCUCGAUGUUGAAUUAAGAUACCUCUAAGGUGUAGCAGUUUUAGUGGUAGGUCUGUUCGACCUUUAAAAUCUUACGUGAUCU